AUUGAACGCUGGCGGCAUGCCUUACACAUGCAAGUCGAACGGCAGCACGGGUGCUUGCACCUGGUGGCGAGUGGCGAACGGGUGAGUAAUAUAUCGGAACGUACCUUAUUGUGGGGGAUAACGCAGCGAAAGCUGUGCUAAUACCGCAUAAUCCCUAAGGGGGAAAGCGGGGGACCGUAAGGCCUCGCGCAAUUAGAGCGGCCGAUACCUGAUUAGCUAGUUGGUGAGGUAAAGGCUCACCAAGGCAACGAUCAGUAGCUGGUCUGAGAGGACGAUCAGCCACCCUGAGACUGAGACACGGCCCAGACUCCUACGGGAGGCAGCAGUGGGGAAUUUUGGACAAUGGGGGCAACCCUGAUCCAGCAAUGCCGCGUGAGUGAAGAAGGCCUUCGGGUUGUAAAGCUCUUUUGUCAGGGAAGAAACAGCAGCUCUAACACAGUUUGCGAAUGACGGUACCUGAAGAAUAAGCACCGGCUAACUACGUGCCAGCCGCCGCGGUAA
Molecule: ribosomal RNA, 501 nt
Filed under: uncultured bacterium
Lineage: Bacteria
Description: partial 16S ribosomal RNA
Rfam family: Bacterial small subunit ribosomal RNA
Source: RNAcentral